RNAcentral lists this ribosomal RNA (429 nucleotides) under Verrucomicrobiota bacterium. Its description in RNAcentral is "Verrucomicrobia bacterium partial 16S ribosomal RNA". It matches the Rfam family "Bacterial small subunit ribosomal RNA", at positions 355 to 776 of the family's 1533-position model. The record is from RNAcentral. Lineage: Bacteria; Pseudomonadati; Verrucomicrobiota.
UAGGGAAUCUUCCGCAAUGGACGAAAGUCUGACGGAGCAACGCCGCGGGAGUGAAGAAGGAUGUCGGUUCGUAAAACUCUGUUGUUAGGGAAGAAAAAAUGUAUAGUAACUAUAUACAAAAGAGACGGUACCUAACCAGAAAGCCACGGCUAACUACGUGCCAGCAGCCGCGGUAAUACGAAGGUGGCAAGCGUUGUCCGGAAUUAUUGGGCGUAAAGCGCGCGCAGGUGGUUUAGAAAGUCUGAUGUGAAAGCCCACGGCUCAACCGUGGAGGGUCAUUGGAAACUAAUAAACUUGAGUGCAGGAGAGAAAAGUGGAAUUCCUAGUGUAGCGGUGAAAUGCGUAGAGAAUAGGAGGAACACCGGUGGCGAAAGCGGCUUUUUGGCCUGCAACUGACACUGAGGCGCGAAAGCGUGGGGAGCAAACAGG